CUUCUGAUCACCGUAAACAUCAGACUCUUUAGUGCAGUCCUGAUUUCUGUAUUAAUGAAUUGAGAAGAUGACAUCAGUCUCUUAGGGAGAAUGCAAAGAAGAUGGAAGGGGGGCUGGAGCCUGGGGAGGCAAAC
Molecule: long non-coding RNA, 134 nt
Filed under: Cairina moschata (Muscovy duck)
Lineage: Eukaryota; Metazoa; Chordata; Aves; Anseriformes; Anatidae
Description: domestica (muscovy Duck (domestic type)) lncRNA (ENSCMMG00000006882.1)
Source: RNAcentral